CAGGCUGAAUCGAAGCAGCAAGAUCGGUGGCAGAAUGCUGCAGUUUAACUGGAUUUAACAACGGUGUGGGGCUCUGUCCUCGAAUGAAGAGGAAGCUAAUAUCGAUUUAUUUUAAUCUUCUUGGUUUGGACAGGUGUAGCGUAAUAUCAUGCAAAUGAAAGCCAACAUUUUUAUGUGGGCUGUUUACACAGCGGCACCUCGUUUACAUGCUGAUUGAUUUUAGUUCAAGAUGUCUUUAUCUGCAUCUACAAAUAUCCCACCUGCACUGACAGCGGAUCAGCUAACGGUCAUCGUGGCCUCCGUGUCCUGCCUGGUGUUCUUCGUAGUGAUUCUCGUGCUCCUGGUGGUCUUGUACAGGAAAGACCCUUUCUGCUGCAGGGUGUCGAACAACCAGCACUGUACACUUCCAGGGAGGCUGUUUAUCAUCGGUAAGCCCAGUAGCUAUCACCUGGAUGGGAUCCUGCCCCGCCUUCCGUCCUACGAGAGCGUCCGUAAGAAGGACCGUCAGAGACAGAUCCACUCUAUGAUAGCCAACCGCUUUGGUAUCAGCCCCACACAGUCUGAAACGGAGCCUCCUCCGACGUAUGAGGAGACUCUUCGCCAGUCCAUGAUCAUCUCCUCUGAAGACCUACAGUCUGUUGAGGCACGUCCCUCAGACCUCCCUCUCUCCACCUCUACCUCCAGCCUUGAACACACAGUGACAGUAGCCCGGUCACCCUACCACCCUAUUCAGAGCCCGACCCAGGAACCCCUCUCUGUCUAGUCCAGGAGUUAUUUGAGGGCCGGAACACUACUGGUUUUCAACUUCGCAUUUUAACUACAGACUCAUGUUUCUACCCUUUGCAAGAGAAAAGAAGACAAAUCAACAAAGAAAGAGACAUUGUCAUGAUAAUGCAUGAGUCAGUUUCACUCAGAGUUUGU
Molecule: long non-coding RNA, 921 nt
Filed under: Salmo salar (Atlantic salmon)
Lineage: Eukaryota; Metazoa; Chordata; Actinopteri; Salmoniformes; Salmonidae
Description: lncRNA (ENSSSAG00000119020.1, ENSSSAG00020042016.1, ENSSSAG00075037809.1)
Source: RNAcentral